AAUGAACGUUGGCGGCGUGGAUUAGGCAUGCAAGUCGAGCGAGAAACUUUGGAUGGAAGCUUCGGCCGAUAUCCAAGGUGGAAAGCGGCGCAAGGGAGAGUAACGCGUGGAAACGUACCCUCAGGUCUGGGAUAGCUGCGGGAAACUGCAGGUAAUACCGGAUAACGUCUUCGGACCAAAGGUGUGAUUCCGCCGGGGGAUGGGUCCGCGUCCUAUUAGCUUGUUGGUGAGGUAAUGGCUUACCAAGGCAAAGAUGGGUACCGGGUGUGAGAGCAUGGCCCGGCUCACUGGGACUGAGACACUGCCCAGACACCUACGGGUGGCUGCAGUCGAGAAUCUUCCGCAAUGGACGCAAGUCUGACGGAGCGACGCCGCGUGCGGGAUGAAGGCCUUCGGGUUGUAAACCGCUGUCAGUGGGGAGGAAAUGCAUGAGGGUUCUCUCUCAUGUUUGACCGAUCCGCAGAGGAAGCGCAGGCUAAGUUCGUG
Molecule: ribosomal RNA, 486 nt
Filed under: uncultured bacterium
Lineage: Bacteria
Description: bacterial SSU rRNA
Rfam family: Bacterial small subunit ribosomal RNA
Source: RNAcentral